Molecule: transfer-messenger RNA, 354 nt
Filed under: Verrucomicrobiales bacterium
Lineage: Bacteria; Pseudomonadati; Verrucomicrobiota; Verrucomicrobiia; Verrucomicrobiales
Also listed under: 1 other name
Rfam family: transfer-messenger RNA
About the family: Bacterial tmRNA, also known as 10Sa RNA or SsrA, is named for its dual tRNA and mRNA-like properties. Its role is to liberate the mRNA from a stalled ribosome.
Source: RNAcentral
GGGGAUGACGGGUUUUGACAGAGCCCUGAAGCCCGGCGUUGCAGGUCGAGCCUGCUGGGGAGCUCGUAAAUCCCCCUGGCAAAAAUUUAACUGGCGAAGAGCAACAGCUCCCGCUCGCGGCCUAGGCGCCGUGACGUUCCUCGGUCCCGUCCCUAGCGGGUUCGAUCGAGCGCUAACUCUCUAGGGUGCGUCGGCUGAGGUGCCCGAGUAAGCCGAUCAAGACACGCGGGCUGGCUGUGAGUCGUCGCUGCCGGCAGCGACGCUGCAGCAAGAUACUAAGGCCCGGAUAAGCCUGUAGAUGCGUCGGGGAGACAGGUUCUGGACGGGGCGUUCGAUUCGCCCCCAUCUCCACCA